This 200-nucleotide ribosomal RNA is filed under the name uncultured bacterium. RNAcentral describes it as "partial 16S ribosomal RNA". It matches the Rfam family "Bacterial small subunit ribosomal RNA", at positions 8 to 221 of the family's 1533-position model. The record is from RNAcentral.
AGAGUUUGAUCAUGGCUCAGAACGAACGCUGGCGGCGUGCCUAACACAUGCAAGUCGAACGAGGUAGCAAUACCUAGUGGCGGACGGGUGAGUAAUACAUAGGCAACCUGCCCAACAGUGGGGGAUACCCAGUCGAAAGAUUGGCUAAUACCGCAUACGAUCCAAGUCUGGGAUGACUUGGAUGAAAGAUUUAUCGCUGU